This 492-nucleotide ribosomal RNA is filed under the name uncultured bacterium. RNAcentral describes it as "partial 16S ribosomal RNA". It matches the Rfam family "Bacterial small subunit ribosomal RNA", at positions 29 to 507 of the family's 1533-position model. The record is from RNAcentral.
AGUGAACGCUGGCGUUAGGCCUAACACAUGCAAGUCGAACGGCAGCACAGUAAGAGUUUGCUCUUACGGGUGGCGAGUGGCGGACGGGUGAGGAAUACAUCGGAAUCUACUUUUUCGUGGGGGAUAACGUAGGGAAACUUACGCUAAUACCGCAUACGACCUACGGGUGAAAGCAGGGGAUCUUCGGACCUUGCGCGAUUGAAUGAGCCGAUGUCGGAUUAGCUAGUUGGCGGGGUAAAGGCCCACCAAGGCGACGAUCCGUAGCUGGUCUGAGAGGAUGAUCAGCCACACUGGAACUGAGACACGGUCCAGACUCCUACGGGAGGCAGCAGUGGGGAAUAUUGGACAAUGGGCGCAAGCCUGAUCCAGCCAUACCGCGUGGGUGAAGAAGGCCUUCGGGUUGUAAAGCCCUUUUGUUGGGAAAGAAAAGCAGCAGGUUAAUACCCCGCUGUUCUGACGGUACCCAAAGAAUAAGCACCGGCUAACUUCGUG